GCCUGGGUGGCUCAGUCAGUUAAGCGUCUGACUUCAGCUCUGAUCUCACAACCGGUUUGUGGGUUCGAGCCCCGCAUCGGGCU
This 83-nucleotide transfer RNA is filed under the name Felis catus (domestic cat). It matches the Rfam family "tRNA". Rfam says of the family: Transfer RNA (tRNA) molecules are approximately 80 nucleotides in length. Their secondary structure includes four short double-helical elements and three loops (D, anti-codon, and T loops). Further hydrogen bonds mediate the characteristic L-shaped molecular structure. tRNAs have two regions of fundamental functional importance: the anti-codon, which is responsible for specific mRNA codon recognition, and the 3' end, to which the tRNAs corresponding amino acid is attached (by aminoacyl-tRNA synthetases). tRNAs cope with the degeneracy of the genetic code in two manners: having more than one tRNA (with a specific anti-codon) for a particular amino acid; and 'wobble' base-pairing, i.e. permitting non-standard base-pairing at the 3rd anti-codon position. The record is from Rfam by way of RNAcentral. RNAcentral also lists the same sequence under 3 other names. Lineage: Eukaryota; Metazoa; Chordata; Mammalia; Carnivora; Felidae.